Molecule: long non-coding RNA, 3110 nt
Organism: Chlorocebus sabaeus (green monkey)
Lineage: Eukaryota; Metazoa; Chordata; Mammalia; Primates; Cercopithecidae
Source: RefSeq, a predicted model, not a curated record
CCUCCUCUUCCUGCCAAACACCGCGCCCUCCUCUCCACCAGGCUCCCACGCCCACCACACAGCCUGGAGCCCUGGCGGAGCUAUAGACUCUGACUCCGCCUCUUCCCAAAUUCAGAGUAGUUGGUGCCACAGUAGUCCUCGGAACCCUGUGGCCCCUUCAUCACCCGUUUCAGGGCCCCUUGAUUCCCACCCCCACCUUCUUAGUCCCCCUGCCCUAUCUGCUUUCCAUCUUCUUGGAAUUCGCCUUGCCGCCGCCCCGCGCCCACACCGCUCCCCCACCCCGCCCCACGCCCAGUCCCUUGCCCUUAUGGAUUUAUUCUUUACACCUAAAUAUGUCUUUCCUCUUUUUGAAAGGAUUUGGAGUUGGAACAGAGAAAUUCACUAUGGAUGAUGCUAUAUCUUUAUAUGACCUUUGGAAUAUCUGUAAUCAUCCUGAGGGCAAAACUUACGUAAUGAAGAUGGAAGAAGAGAGAAUAGGAAUACUCUGUGCGCUUUGAUCUUAUCGUUUUGCUGCUGAUCAUACCAUCCCUGGAGUCCUACUUCUGACUCCAAGUUAUGAGGUAACAAGUUUCUUUAUAGUUAAAGCAAUUUGAAUCUGGGUUUUCUGUUACUUACAGUUGAAGGCAUCUUAAAUGGCUUAGCGUUCCCAGACUUAAAUUAUAUAGUAUCCCUAGACAAUACCGUUAUACUUUUAAGUUAUAUGAAACAAUACGUUCUCAGGCACUCAUUCAUCCAACCAGCUCCCAUAUCAGGAAAUGGGACAUUACUUCCAGACUUAAAAAAUCCAGUAUUCAGUUGCAAAUAAGGAAUAAGGAGCUAUCUAAAAAACAAGCAUGAGGUAAAAAGGCAUCAUUCUCAUUUGCACUACACGAAAAAAUAUACCAGGAUUAGCAAAUAACUCCCUAAAUAAACGCUAUCAACAAAGUGAUGAGCCUCUUAUAUUUCCCUCAAAGGAAGAGGUAGGCUUCCGGACUCCAGUCUGUCCACCUCACAUGUAUUAUUUUCCAUAUACUUUAGAUUUCUCUGUCUUAAAGAGGUGAUCCUGAUAUUCAAUCUUGUGAGAGUAAAAAAUAGCAUUCUAAUCACUUAUUUUUAAAUUUCAUGCAUUAACAUUAGUUAAGACUAUCUUUCAAAAUUACCAAAAAUUAAUAUGGUUUACUGCGAUCUUUUUAACAAUGAAAAGAUCUAUGAUGAAUGAAAUAGACCUUUCUCUAUCUCAUUUCCUUUUUCUCCUUGCCACCUCUCAGGACAUCCCAGUGUUCUCACGUUCCAUCUUCAGUCACACUUCACCAGUGUUAAAUCCCUGGUAUAUGUUCUUCCAAACCAUUUUGUAUGAUACUACAACAAUAUAUAAAUAUAAACGUAAACAUCGGAAUUUGGAAGUCCUUCUCACUUUUUAACAUAAGUGGGAUCAUACUCUUUACGUUUGUGUGCAACGACACAUCUAUAUAUAUUUCUAAAACAUCUUCUUUAUAAUUGUAUACUAUUUCAAGUGAUACAUAAACACAAUGUAUUCAACAGUUCUGGUAUUGAUAGACAUUCAAGAUUUUCCCCCAGCUAUUUUUGCUGUUUCAAACAAUGCUGCGAUAACAGGUGAAUGCAAUCCAAUUGUGACAUUUCUCAUUCCAUCUAUUUUGAGGGUUGAUGGUGCCUAUUUUGCUGAUGAGGUAGGUAUCUUUGUCUUCUCUCAAUGUUGCCACAUUCUUCCUUCUUAAUGUUACCUGUCCUGAUAUAAAAGAACCUUUCCAGAUAAAGAAGACUAUCUUUUAUUUAAGAAUAUAUGUGUGCUUUGUCUGGCCUUCCCCCAGUAUUUAUAAAUUUUUAGCAACCUUCCAAGAAGUUAUUGAAUCAAAAAGAAAAUAAGAAAAAAUUAACAACAGAGAACUUGAGAAAUGAUAGCAAUGAGGACACAACAUAUUAAAAUGUGCCCGUUACAGCCAGCACUCUAUUCAAAGAUAAAUUUAUAGUAACGACUAUUUCCCUUAAAAAUUAGCCAGAAAUUAUCAUUAUAGAUAGCCAUGGAAACUUAAAGGAAGUAACUAAAAUAUGCAGAGACUGAUGAAGUGAAAAAAUGGAAAAUUAGUAGAAUAUAUAGCAAAACCUAUGUCUAAGUUUUGUGAAAAAAUAAAACGAUAGGAAAGAAAACUGGCAAUACAGAAAAAAGGACCAAUAAAUGCAAAGGGGAUUUAUAAUAGGUUAUUUGAAAAUAUAAAAUUGUCAUGCAAUAAUUCACUUGCUCCACAAUGUUUAUAGAGUGUCUCCUAUGUUCCAGACCCUUUCAUAGGCACUGCAUUACUAGAAUGAAUUAGAUAGACAAGAUUCCUGCAUUCAAAGUUUUUAUUCUAGUGGAGUAAGACAGAAAAUAAACAAUCUAAAAGACAAGUUCACAUAGUGAUAAGUACUACAGAGCAAGAAACACAAGGUUAUGGGGUAGAAGGAGAGAAUCUCUGAACAGGUGAUAUUUGAGUCAAGACCUGAAUAUGAGAAGCAACCACUUAUGAAAAGUUAUGAAAAUCUCUGGGGGUAAGAAAUAGCUCUAGCAUGAAGACUUUGAAGUGGAAACAAGCUUGUUACCUUUGAGAAUAGAAAAAUGUUAGUAUGGCUGUAAUAUGUAGUGAAAAGGAGACCAUAUUUGAAUCACAAAAGAGUGAGAUCAUCUAGAGCACUGCUUCUUCAUUCUUAUUUCAUUAUUAUCCCCUCCCCACUAGAUGGCUUUAUAAGGAUUUUCUUCUUUUUCCUAAUUGUCUACUCAUGAAAUUUGAAUACCAAUGAUGUACUGUAUAAUCUAGUCAAUGAGUGCAUGUAUAUCUGUAUUUUAUACAUAAUCAACCUGUAUGCAGGAUUAAGUAUGAAUAAAAUUUGAAGGUAGUAGUUAAAUUAAAAAUUAAAAAGCUAGCAAUAUCUAACUUAACUGUGUAAGUGUAUUUGCUAAGUGACUUUUAAUGGAAUGUAUUUACUUACAUAAAUUAUAAUGUGUCAAAGUAUGUAUGCAAAUUGGCAGUUUAUAUAAAUAUAUAAUAGUGAUGUAAUCACAUUUAAAAAAUUAUUCACGACAUUUUUCUAGAAAAGGUGAAACAAUGGAAAACAUUAAAUUAAUUUCUUCAAAGUUA